This 292-nucleotide ribosomal RNA is filed under the name uncultured bacterium. RNAcentral's name for it is "partial 16S ribosomal RNA". It matches the Rfam family "Bacterial small subunit ribosomal RNA", at positions 505 to 796 of the family's 1533-position model. The record is from RNAcentral.
GUGCCAGCCGCCGCGGUAAGACAGAGGGGGCAAGCGUUGCUCGGAAUCACUGGGCGUAAAGGGCGCGUAGGCGGGAUGGCAAGUCGGUCGUGAAAUCCUUCGGCUCAACCGAAGAACGUCGGCCGAUACUGCCGUUCUUGAGGGAUGCAGAGGAGAUUGGAAUUCCCGGUGUAGCGGUGAAAUGUGUAGAGAUCGGGAGGAACACCGGUGGCGAAGGCGGGUCUCUGGGCAUCUCCUGACGCUGAGGCGCGAAAGCGUGGGGAGCAAACGGGAGGAUAUACCACAGGAUUAC